Molecule: ribosomal RNA, 346 nt
Filed under: uncultured eukaryote
Lineage: Eukaryota
Description: SSU rRNA
Rfam family: Eukaryotic small subunit ribosomal RNA
Source: RNAcentral
AUAGCGUAUAUUAAAGUUGUUGCAGUUAAAAAGCUCGUAGUUGAAUUUUAGAUCUGGUUGGGCGGUCUGCCUGUUGGGUACGUACUGUCUGGCCGGAUCUGACCUUCUGGUAACCACCAUGUUGCUUUGCAAUGUGGUUUGGGAUUCCAGAUCUUUUACUUUGAAAAAAUUAGAGUGUUUAAAGCAGGCAUUCGCUUGAAUACAUUAGCAUGGAAUAAUAGAAUAGGACUUGGGUUCUAUUUUGUUGGUUUCUAGGACCAAAGUAAUGAUUAAUAGGGAUAGUUGGGGGCAUUAGUAUUUAAUUGUCAGAGGUGAAAUUCUUGGAUUUAUUAAAGACUAACUUCUG